RNAcentral lists this small RNA (148 nucleotides) under Cercocebus atys (sooty mangabey). Its description in RNAcentral is "Metazoan signal recognition particle RNA". RNAcentral also lists the same sequence under 3 other names. The record is from Rfam by way of RNAcentral. Lineage: Eukaryota; Metazoa; Chordata; Mammalia; Primates; Cercopithecidae.
GCCGGGCGUGGUGGCAUGCGCCUGUAAUCCCAGCUACUCAGGAGGCUGAGGCAGGAGAAUUGCUUGCAUCCGGGAGGUGAAGGUUGCAGUGAGCCAAGAUUGCGCCACUGCACUCCAACCUGAGUGACAGAGCAAGACUCUGUCUCAA